GUAGUGGUUAACAUGCCUGCCUGUCACGCAGGAGAUCGCGGGUUCGAGUCCCGUCGGGACCGCCA
RNAcentral lists this transfer RNA (65 nucleotides) under Parageobacillus yumthangensis. RNAcentral's name for it is "Geobacillus yumthangensis tRNA-Asp". It matches the Rfam family "tRNA", at positions 12 to 71 of the family's 71-position model. From Rfam's summary of the family: Transfer RNA (tRNA) molecules are approximately 80 nucleotides in length. Their secondary structure includes four short double-helical elements and three loops (D, anti-codon, and T loops). The record is from RNAcentral. Lineage: Bacteria; Bacillati; Bacillota; Bacilli; Caryophanales; Anoxybacillaceae.